AACGCUAGCUACAGGCUUAACACAUGCAAGUCGAGGGGCAGCACGGGAGUAGCAAUACAACUGGUGGCGACCGGCGCACGGGUGAGUAACGCGUAUGCAACCUACCUAUCAGAGGGGAAUAACCCGGCGAAAGUCGGACUAAUACCGCAUAAAACAGGGGCACCGCAUGGUGAUAUUUGUUAAAGAAAUUCGCUGAUAGAUGGGCAUGCGUUCCAUUAGGUAGUUGGUGAGGUAACGGCUCACCAAGCCGACGAUGGAUAGGGGAACUGAGAGGUUGGUCCCCCACACUGGUACUGAGACACGGACCAGACUCCUACGGGAGGCAGCAGUGAGGAAUAUUGGUCAAUGGGCGAGAGCCUGAACCAGCCAAGUCGCGUGAAGGAAGAAGGAUCUAUGGUUCGUAAACUUCUUUUGCAGGGGAAUAAAGUGCAGGACGUGUCCUGUUUUGUAUGUACCCUGAGAAUAAGGAUCGGCUAACUCCGUGCCAGCAGCCGCGGUAAUACGGAGGAUCCGAGCGUUAUCCGGAUUUAUUGGGUUUAAAGGGAGCGUAGAUGGAUUUUUAAGUCAGUUGUGAAAGUUCGGGGCUCAACCCCGUAAUUGCAGUUGAUACUGGAUAUCUUGAGUACAGUUGAGGUAGGCGGAAUUCGUGGUGUAGCGGUGAAAUGCUUAGAUAUCACGAAGAACUCCGAUUG
Molecule: ribosomal RNA, 692 nt
Filed under: uncultured bacterium
Lineage: Bacteria
Description: bacterial SSU rRNA
Rfam family: Bacterial small subunit ribosomal RNA
Source: RNAcentral